This 465-nucleotide ribosomal RNA is filed under the name uncultured bacterium. RNAcentral's name for it is "bacterial SSU rRNA". It matches the Rfam family "Bacterial small subunit ribosomal RNA", at positions 338 to 795 of the family's 1533-position model. The record is from RNAcentral.
CCUACGGGGUGCAGCAGUGGGGAAUAUUGCACAAUGGGCGCAAGCCUGAUGCAGCCAUGCCGCGUGUAUGAAGAAGGCCUUCGGGUUGUAAAGUACUUUCAGCGGGGAGGAAGGCGAUAAGGUUAAUAACCUUGUCGAUUGACGUUACCCGCAGAAGAAGCACCGGCUAACUCCGUGCCAGCAGCCGCGGUAAUACGGAGGGUGCAAGCGUUAAUCGGAAUUACUGGGCGUAAAGCGCACGCAGGCGGUCUGUCAAGUCGGAUGUGAAAUCCCCGGGCUCAACCUGGGAACUGCAUUCGAAACUGGCAGGCUAGAGUCUUGUAGAGAGGGGUAGAAUUCCAGGUGUAGCGGUGAAAUGCGUAGAGAUCUGGAGGAAUACCGGUAGCGAAGGCGGCCCCCUGGACAAAGACUGACGCUCAGGUGCGAAAGCGUGGGGAGCAGACAGGAUUAGAUACCCUUGUAGUC